RNAcentral lists this ribosomal RNA (1401 nucleotides) under uncultured bacterium. RNAcentral describes it as "bacterial SSU rRNA". It matches the Rfam family "Bacterial small subunit ribosomal RNA". The record is from RNAcentral.
AGAGUUUGAUCCUGGCUCAGGAUGAACGCUAGCGGCAGGCUUAACACAUGCAAGUCGAGGGGCAUCGGGAGGGAAGCUUGCUUUCCUUGCCGGCGACCGGCGCACGGGUGAGUAACACGUAUGCAACCUGCCCUCUUCAGGGGGACAACCUUCCGAAAGGGAGGCUAAUCCCGCGUAUAUCGGUUUCGGGCAUCCGAGAUCGAGGAAAGAUUCAUCGGAAGAGGAUGGGCAUGCGGCGCAUUAGCUAGACGGCGGGGUAACGGCCCACCGUGGCGACGAUGCGUAGGGGUUCUGAGAGGAAGGUCCCCCACACUGGUACUGAGACACGGACCAGACUCCUACGGGAGGCAGCAGUGAGGAAUAUUGGUCAAUGGGAGAGAUCCUGAACCAGCCAAGCCGCGUGAGGGAAGACGGCCCUAUGGGUUGUAAACCUCUUUUGUCGGAGAACAAAACCCGGGACGAGUCCCGGACUGCGUGUAUCCGAAGAAAAAGCAUCGGCUAACUCCGUGCCAGCAGCCGCGGUAAUACGGAGGAUGCGAGCGUUAUCCGGAUUUAUUGGGUUUAAAGGGUGCGUAGGCGGUCCGUUAAGUCAGCGGUAAAAUUGCGGGGCUCAACCCCGUCGAGCCGUUGAAACUGGCAGACUUGAGUUGGCGAGAAGUACGCGGAAUGCGCGGUGUAGCGGUGAAAUGCAUAGAUAUCGCGCAGAACUCCGAUUGCGAAGGCAGCGUACCGGCGCCAGACUGACGCUGAGGCACGAAAGCGUGGGGAUCGAACAGGAUUAGAUACCCUGGUAGUCCACGCAGUAAACGAUGAAUGCUGGGUGUCCGGGUCGAAUGAGACCUGGGCGGCGAAGCGAAAGCGAUAAGCAUUCCACCUGGGGAGUACGCCGGCAAACGGUGAAACUCAAAGGAAUUGACGGGGGCCCGCACAAGCGGAGGAACAUGUGGUUUAAUUCGAUGAUGCGCGAGGAACCUUACCCGGGCUCAAACGGGAGUGGAAUGGACCAGAGACGGUUCAGCCUACGGGCCGCUUCCGAGGUGCUGCAUGGUUGUCGUCAGCUCGUGCCGUGAGGUGUCGGCUUAAGUGCCAUAACGAGCGCAACCCCCGCCGGCAGUUGCUAACGGGCAAUGCCGAGGACUCUGCCGGGACUGCCGCCGCAAGGCGUGAGGAAGGCGGGGAUGACGUCAAAUCAGCACGGCCCUUACGUCCGGGGCGACACACGUGUUACAAUGGGCGGUACAGCGGGAAGCCAGGCGGCGACGCCGAGCGGAACCCGAAAGCCGUUCUCAGUUCGGAUCGGAGUCUGCAACCCGACUCCGUGAAGCUGGAUUCGCUAGUAAUCGCGCAUCAGCCAUGGCGCGGUGAAUACGUUCCCGGGCCUUGCACACACCGCCCGUCAAG